GACGAACGCUGGCGGCGUGCCUAAUACAUGCAAGUUGAGCGCUGAAGGUUGGUACUUGUACCAACUGGAUGAGCAGCGAACGGGUGAGUAACGCGUGGGGAAUCUGCCUUUGAGCGGGGGACAACAUUUGGAAACGAAUGCUAAUACCGCAUAAAAACUUUAAACACAAGUUUUAAGUUUGAAAGAUGCAAUUGCAUCACUCAAAGAUGAUCCCGCGUUGUAUUAGCUAGUUGGUGAGGUAAAGGCUCACCAAGGCGAUGAUACAUAGCCGACCUGAGAGGGUGGUCGGCCACAUUGGGACUGAGACACAGCCCAAACGCCUACGGGAGGCAGCAGUAGGGAAUCUUCGGCAAUGGACGAAAGUCUGACCGAGCAACGCCGCGUGAGUGAAGAAGGUUUUCGGAUCGUAAAACUCUGUUGGUAGAGAAGAACGUUGGUGAGAGUGGAAAGCUCAUCAAGUGACGGUAACUACCCAGAAAGGGACGGCUAACUACGUG
This 497-nucleotide ribosomal RNA is filed under the name uncultured bacterium. Its description in RNAcentral is "partial 16S ribosomal RNA". It matches the Rfam family "Bacterial small subunit ribosomal RNA", at positions 28 to 507 of the family's 1533-position model. The record is from RNAcentral.